ACGGAAGGCAGCAGUGGGGAAUAUUGGGCAAUGGGCGAAAGCCUGACCCAGCAACGCCGCGUGAAGGAAGAAGGCCUUCGGGUUGUAAACUUCUUUUGUCAGGGACGAAGGACGUGACGGUACCUGACGAAUAAGCAACGGCUAACUACGUUCCAGCAGCCGCGGUAAUACGUAGGUUGCAAGCGUUGUCCGGAUUUACUGGGUGUAAAGGGCGUGUAGGCGGAGCUGCAAGUCAGAUGUGAAAUCCCGGGGCUCAACCCCGGAACUGCAUUUGAAACUGUAGCCCUGGAGUAUCGGAGAGGCAAGCGGAAUUCCUAGUGUAGCGGUGAAAUGCGUAGAUAUUAGGAGGAACACCAGUGGAGAAGGCGGCUUGCUGGACGACAACUGACGAUGAGGCGCGAAAGAGUGGGGAGCAAACAGGAUUAGAUACCAUGGU
Molecule: ribosomal RNA, 436 nt
Filed under: uncultured Oscillospiraceae bacterium
Lineage: Bacteria; Bacillati; Bacillota; Clostridia; Eubacteriales; Oscillospiraceae
Description: partial 16S ribosomal RNA
Rfam family: Bacterial small subunit ribosomal RNA
Source: RNAcentral